UUUAAGAAAAGAGCUUUAAUUUAAUUCAAAAAUUCAUAUUUCUUUAAUUUUAAAAAGUUAUGUUCUUUACUCUUUAACUUUAAAAAAUGAUUUAGUUUAUUAUUUAAAAAAUAAAAAAUUUCACAUUUAAAACCCCUCAUCCUCUACAAAACCUAAACUAAAAAUAGCGUACAACCCCUCAACCAUAUGCACGAAAUCACGAUUUUUCCAACCAAAUAGCACGAUUGAAUCACACGAAACCAUAUGGAACUGCUUCAAACGGACAUUUCUCCAACCGAUUCAAAUCUUCAUGUUGCUACCAAAAAUUCAAGAAACAUACGGCUUGCAAAAUAUGGCUACUCAAAGUGAUUUAUUUAAUGAUAUAAUAAUAUCGCAAAUGCAAUGAAAGCUGAAAGUUGGAUUGUUCGUCUGUGGAAAAUACCAGAUCGUUACAAUUGAGAUGCUACUUUCUCGAUUGAAUCAGUUCUGCAAGAUGAAAAGGAUCCCGACUUCAAUACUAUUGAAGACUUCAAUACUAUUGAAGGCGUAGAUGAAGCGAUGGAAUGCGAGGUAAAUACAUCGCUUACUUUUAAUUUGUCCUUAUGGUGACACUUAUUUUACUUAUACAUGGAUAGCUAUAGUUGAUAAUAAGAUGCUAAUCUUGGAGCACUCAUGUUCUUAUCCCUGGUUGGAGCCUCUAGAAUGAAUUAAGUUAUAUCUCCAAAAGUUACUGGGUUCCCGAGAACCCAUAUACCAUACUCUAGAUUCGCCUCUGCAUAUAAUAUGAAAAUAUAACAUGAUUCAAAAUGAAUAGGAGUAAUUUAUAACUAAAUGAAUCUAAAAAAAUCUUUAUUUACUAAUCUUUUAAAUUCAUUUGUUAUUUAUCCAUAAUCAUCAUUUCAA
Molecule: long non-coding RNA, 882 nt
Organism: Nicotiana attenuata
Lineage: Eukaryota; Viridiplantae; Streptophyta; Magnoliopsida; Solanales; Solanaceae
Exons: 2
Source: RefSeq, a predicted model, not a curated record